UUUGUUCUACUACUUAAUUGGGUUGGUAUUUACUUAUACUUAGUAACUGCUAAUAAAAUUUUGACCAACUUUAAAAGCAAUGCUCAGCUCUAACCAUCCUCUUUGGUAAGCCUUACACUUCACGUGAGCUCCCACCUUUGGCGAGUUCAUGCACAUUAUUCCCCACAACUUGUUGAGCGAUGAACGUAUGUGAGCUCACUCUUGCUGUCUCACACCCCCAAAGGUCAAGAACAGGUACCGCAGGAUGAGGCGCAAGGAGGAUGCUGCGAUGAGUUCGUGAGAGAUCUAGGUCGUCGUCUCCCAGUCAACUUUGGGUUGCUGGACCGUUGUCUCCUUAAAUGUAAUUAUUUAUUUUGUAUAGAACUCCUAUUAUAUAGUAAAGUUGUGACAUUCGAUCCUGUGCCACUAUGCAUCAUAUGUGUGAGACUUGGUCCCAGCACACCUGGUGAUUAUGUUCGCGCCCGGGCUUUGGACCCCUAAAACCCGGGUGUGACAGAAGUGGUAUCAGAGGAAUGUUGACUGUAGGACGAAACCUAGAUAGAACUGGAUAACCCUUAUCUACUUACCUUUACUACUCUGAUUCUUUCUAAACUUUUCUUAAUCUUUUCUCAUCUAUUUCCGCUUACUCUGAUUAUUCUUACCUUUUCAUUCUAAAGACAAAUGUGGAUUUCACACUUUGAAAUCCUAUACCUAUGGUGACCUUUAGGAAUAGGAGACCUACUCUUAGGAACAAAAUCAAAACUAUUUUUAUAGGUAUAUGUGUGCUUGAAUGUUUGUUCUUAUGAUACAUGUCUGAUUUGGUUCUUUGAUUGAGUGUGAUGAAUUGUGGAGUAAUAUCCACAAUUGCAUCUGCAUAUACAUAUAGGCGUAAAAAAACAAUAUGAUAACUCGACAAAUUAGAUUAUUCCUCAUUAAAAUAUAUCUAGCUUAAUAGAUCUAUCUUAUCUUAAAAGAUUCUCUCUUAUCUUAAUAGAUUCAUCUUACCUUAAAAAGAUUCUAUCUUAUCCUUCCGACUUGUCAUAACCACUUUGCUUACCUCAUCCUAGAGUAACAACCAUGAUCUAGCAUAAAAUAAAUAGAUCUUAUCUAGUUAUACCAAUCUGAUCUAGAUCCCACUAAUCUAACAUGAGCUAAUCCAAAUUGAGUUACUUAAGUAAGUUAGACAUAAAUUAGGCCCUGAUUCUAUAAACAUAUCUUACCCUAAAUUAAUGCCUUGGACUAACUCAUCCGUAAACAACAACCUAACCUACAUCAUAGGUUGCCUAAUCCAGAUAUCCUAAAAGCAAAGUAAAACUCUGUUUAAAUCUAACUACCUCAUGUACCCUAGCUAUCCUAGCUAUAGCCAUAUGUCCUCAACUCGGAUGGCAACUCUAGGAGGAAGGCCAAAGAAGACCAACAUCGUCAAGGAAGGAGAAGGAGAUCAACCUCGACAUGGAAGAAUACGAGUCAAAUCAGAUCUCGAGAUAAUUCAAGAUUCACCACCCAAGAUGAAGUCUUUGCUUAUUAUACUCAUCCUUGCCACGACCUAUACAUGCCAUAACCGUACCUCAUCUGACCUAAUAGAUGGCUAGACAUACAAUAUCCAUGUGUUCCAAAUCGUCUACUAACCGUUAUGUAAAAACUUGAACAAAACUUUGAUUUCCAAAACCCAAAUGAGAAACUAAAAUUCUAGACCAAACUUAUUGUAUCCCUUUUCUUACAAAUCUCGAGGACGAGAUUAUUUUUAAGGGGGGUAGAAUUUGUAGCAUCAAAAAAAUCAUAUUUUGACAAUUAGAGAAAAUCCUAUAAAGAUUUAAGAUUUUAUAUGUCUUUCUUAUAAAUUUUUGGAUUAAUGAAACUAUUUUUAGUCAAAUAAUAGUUAAUACAAAAAAUUUGGCCAUAUAUUUAUAUCCUUAAGUAAAUAGAAUGGUGAAGUAUUUCGCAUAACGUUUUCAUAUUGGGUUAUAUAUAUAUAUAUAUAUAUAUAUAUAUAUAUAUAUAUAUAUAUAUUUCAUUGCUACGUAUGUGAAGGUUUUUGUUUGAUGCAUGUAACGUGUGUUUGAAAUUCAGAACUAAACUUGAAUUUGAAAUUGAAAAUUUAAAAGUAGAAAAUGGGAAAGAAAAAAAAUGAAAUCUCACCCCUAACGUGAGCUAGCUGCCGCUCGGCCCACUUGCUGCUCAAUACUAGUGCAGCCCACGCCCCUUCAAUUCCUUUUUCCUUUGUUUAUUCCUCUUGCCGCAGAUGACAUCACCACGACGUCAUGGCUGACUUCAUCUAUAUUUCAAUGGCGCGUGGGGCCACAAUCCCAGAAUCUUCUCGCUGCCGUUCCGCUGUGAUCCGAACGCGUAAAUGCCGGGUCGUUCAUCGCGGCUUCGCUCGGAGUUGGCCUGCCUUCCGUGUAUAUAUAUAUGGCCUCGGGGGCCUCUACUCCUCAUCCAGCCAUCUCGUGCAAUCCACAGAAGUCCGCCUGCCAGCCCUCAACCCGGAGCCACAGGUUCCUUCGCCAUGCCGCUGCCUUGCCGAAUGGGAGACGACUGGGGAUGCUCCUGCCCGCCGGUGGCUGUCCCCUCCACCGUGAUAGUAGUAUGCGUGUGGCGAGCCGCCAGGAGCCGUAGGAGUUUGGCUGCCUCGCCAACCUGUGCUUCAAAUUGGGCACCAAGUGAAGGAAGAAGGCACUCUGGUGUUUGAUCUCGAUCGGACUCUGUACGUCGCGACGUUCGCUGCCAGGAUCGGGUGGAUUCCACUGGCUGUUCCAACCACCGCCGGGAGCUUCGGAUCUCGGGAGAAGUUGCAGCCACCCAUGUCUGCCCGUGCGCCCACUGCCCUGGGACUUCAUCGUUGGCGUCGUGCCUAGAGCUUGGGCAGUGCGCAUCGGAGAAAGAACUGGAGCCGCCAUUGUUGAAAUCUGGAGCUAGACUGCGCCGUCGGUGGUCUCGCUUUCGCUCUGCUUGCGGUAACUACUCGCCCUGUCCUGCUCGGUUCUAUCUCACCCUUGUCUCGCGCAACAGCAGUCGGACUAGGGCCCUUGAUCGCUGGCGGGUUGUGCGUGGUUGUGCUCACCGCUGCUACUAGCACCGCGGUGGGGAAGAACUACCGACGCCGGUCAGCCAUGGAGAGAGAGAGAGAGAGAGAAGGAAAUAGGAGGGCGUAGGGAGGAAGAAAACUGGCAGCCAUUGGAUUGGAAGUUGACGGUUAGGAUGGGAUAUGGGAAGGAUGUACCGUGGACCGUUGAUCGCGGAAUGGACGUAUCGGAUUAGAUUCACGUAUACCCGUUCGACUCAUUAAAUCCAGGGCGUAGAUCUUGGAUCCUGGGGCUCGGGUUGCGUACCGAUUUGAGCGCGGCCAGAUUUAAUCGUGACCUUUGGUUUAGAUCGGACGACCGAUGUUCUGCGAUACCCCGUCGCGAACACAUUUUCAUAAGAACCCCCUAGAGAUUGAAUAAUUAACCCGCAGUCCACUUGAUGGUUGGCUGAGUCUGGGCGAGUUUUAUAGAGUUGCCCCUGUGCUUUUCUGUAAUAGUGCGCAUGAUCCAGAGGAUAGAGAAAGAGGAUAAAUGAUUAUGGAAAUAGAUUUCUAGUAUAAAAUUUAUUGCAGAAAUUGUUUAAUUCUUAGAAAAUUCAUAUGAAGUUCAAAUUAAUCUAUUCCAGUUGCAAUAAUUUUGUUUUAAUAUUGUUCAUCAUCUAGUACCUUUGUUUAGCCAUAAAAAUUGAAUUAAUGUUAUUCACUUGAUUUAGUCUAUACUAAGCACUUAAUAACUUCGAAAAUUCAUAACUCCUCCGUUUUAACUCCGAUUUAAUCCGUUCAAGUUCCGUUAGUCUCGUAGCAACGCGUAGAUUAUUAUUACACAGUUUAUUCUUAUGUUUGGUGUGAUGUUAAUUUUGCGUAUACCAUGCUUGUUUGUAUUGCUACGACUAGCGCGAGGUUACGAGUCACCUGAAGAUCAUCCUGUUACCUGUAAUUUCAAGUGCCAGGCAAGUUGUGCCCUUGACCACUUUUUACCCAAUAAUGUUCUUUAAUAUCAUUUAUUCAUGCAUAGGUUAAUUUUGAUGGGACCCAAUAGGUUACCCUAGAUUGUUUAUCUCAUUAUCUUGUUUACCUCUGAAUCACUUGGGUAGUUUGCUAUUGCUUUACAUGGAUUUGGGAUAAUUAUUUAUCAUAGCUAUGUUCCAGUUAUUUUGUUAUUCUAUUUAUGUUCAUGUCAAGAUCAUUAAUGUUAACUGGAACAUAGAGCUUAACUUGAGAAACACGUGCCACCACAAGGGUUUAUGGACGCCCUUGGCUGAUUAAUUAGGAAAGCUGGUGGAGGACUACCUUACCCGAAAGGGGCAAGGGCAGUAGGGGAGUGGUCAGUGUAGGGAGGUCCUUGGUUGAUUUUGCUGCGAUGGCGGUCAGGCAAGAACCCUGCAUUGGAGCUUCCUAUAAACUGUAGCGGGUUUUCUGAAGCUAGUGGAACUUUGUAAAGGCCUCGUAGUGUUACCCUGCCUCGCCUCCUCGGUAGAGGUGUAUGGGAAGUCGCGAUCCCUUGGUAGAUGGGUAACAUGACUUGUGGGUAAAGGGUACCACCUCUGCAGAGUGUAAAACUGGUAUACUAGCCGAGCUCACGGUCAUGAGCAGCUCAGGACUCUCUGAUGAUUAACUUAUGGAACUAAAUUCAAUUUGUCAUAUGCAUUGCAUCGCAGGUGAUGUUGUUACUUUUGUUCUACUACUUAAUUGGGUUGGUAUUUACUUAUACUUAGUAACUGCUAAUAAAAUUUUGACCAACUUUAAAAGCAAUGCUCAGCUCUAACCAUCCUCUUUGGUAAGCCUUACACUUCACGUGAGCUCCCACCUUUGGCGAGUUCAUGCACAUUAUUCCCCACAACUUGUUGAGCGAUGAACGUAUGUGAGCUCACUCUUGCUGUCUCACACCCCCCAAAGGUCAAGAACAGGUACCGCAGGAUGAGGCGCAAGGAGGAUGCUGCGAUGAGUUCGUGAGAGAUCUAGGUCGUCGUCUCCCAGUCAACUUUGGGUUGCUGGACCGUUGUCUCCUUAAAUGUAAUUAUUUAUUUUGUAUAGAACUCCUAUUAUAUAGUAAAGUUGUGACAUUCGAUACUGUGCCACUAUGCAUCAUAUGUGUGAGACUUGGUCCCAGCACACCUGGUGAUUAUGUUCGCGCCCGGGCUUUGGACCCCUAAAACCCGGGUGUGACAGCGGCCUUCCUGCUGCUCCAAAUAAACGAUCUUUCCCUUGACCUACCUAAAGGGGUGAGGAGGAUCCUCGUCAUCUCCUCCCCCUGGCGCCGACACAUUCUUCGUGCGCGGCAUCCUGACCUGAUGACUGCAAAUGAGAGAGAGAAGCUAAGCACAAGUCGAUAACUGCCGAUAGAAUAUCAGAAGAGUGGAUGUCUACCUGGAAAGCUCACACGAGAGGUGAAAAUCCAGGUAGGACAGGAGACGGCUCACGGGCAGGCAAGGUCACUGAAAUGAUAGAAGAGGUGAACACAUAUUAGUCACAUAGUCAUAAGUAUAUGAAAUGUGAAUAAAUACAUACACAGAGAAUUAUGGCACAGAAAACGAGAGAUAUGGCAAUCGAGAGGUCAAACGACGCGAAAACGACGUUUGAACGAGAAAUAGUGCCAUAGGAGGUUUGGAAUUCGAAUUGAGGCAUGAAAUUACGUGGAAUUGAGCCGAUACUUCAUGAAUAGGUUUAUAUGGGUAAAUAUGAGUGAAGUGUGUGCUUGGUUUGAAUUUAGGCAAAGAAAAUGAAAUUUUGGCACUCGGCUCGGAACCGAUCGCCGAAACGGGGAAUUGUGUGAAAUUGAAGCCUGGUAUAUCGGAUUGGCGUGAAAUUGCGCGAAUAUGUUACUGAAAGUGUUAUGAAGGUGCCUGAAAAGUUUGGGUUCAAUCGGAGCAAUUUUGAGUGGUUUGGACAUUUCACCGAGCACGUGGCGUGCAGGGAAUUAGGGUUUUGGAGAAAAGCUCAUGUGAGAAUAUGAAGCCCUCCCUAAGGAGCUAGGAACCUGCAGGGGGAUAUAAUGUGGCACUAGGGACUCAUUCAAGCACAGAGAUUCACAGAAUUCGGAAGGAAUUUGGAAUUUGAGCAAUCAAGGGGUGGCAAGCUCACUGACCAGCGAAGUAGAGAUUAGAGAGAGGGAAGGCAAGGCUGCUCACCGAGAGGAGGCAGAGGUGCCC
Molecule: long non-coding RNA, 6150 nt
Filed under: Zea mays
Lineage: Eukaryota; Viridiplantae; Streptophyta; Magnoliopsida; Poales; Poaceae
Description: long non-coding RNA (ZMAY_LNC002955)
Source: RNAcentral